Molecule: ribosomal RNA, 470 nt
Filed under: uncultured bacterium
Lineage: Bacteria
Description: bacterial SSU rRNA
Rfam family: Bacterial small subunit ribosomal RNA
Source: RNAcentral
AAGUCGAGCGGUAGAGAGGAGCUUGCUCCUCUUGAGAGCGGCGGACGGGUGAGUAAUGCCUAGGAAUCUGCCUGGUAGUGGGGGAUAACGUUCGGAAACGGACGCUAAUACCGCAUACGUCCUACGGGAGAAAGCAGGGGAUCUUCGGACCUUGCGCGAUUGAAUGAGCCGAUGUCGGAUUAGCUAGUUGGCGGGGUAAAGGCCCACCAAGGCUACGAUCCGUAACUGGUCUGAGAGGAUGAUCAGUCACACUGGAACUGAGACACGGUCCAGACUCCUACGGGAGGCAGCAGUGGGGAAUAUUGGACAAUGGGCGAAAGCCUGAUCCAGCCAUGCCGCGUGUGUGAAGAAGGUCUUCGGAUUGUAAAGCACUUUAAGUUGGGAGGAAGGGCAGUUACCUAAUACGUGAUUGUUUUGACGUUACCGACAGAAUAAGCACCGGCUAACUCUGUGCCAGCAGCCGCGGUAAU